UAGGGAAUCUUCGGCAAUGGACGAAAGUCUGACCGAGCAACGCCGCGUGAGUGAAGAAGGUUUUCGGAUCGUAAAACUCUGUUGUUAGAGAAGAACAAGGACGUUAGUAACUGAACGUCCCCUGACGGUAUCUAACCAGAAAGCCACGGCUAACUACGUGCCAGCAGCCGCGGUAAUACGUAGGUGGCAAGCGUUGUCCGGAUUUAUUGGGCGUAAAGCGAGCGCAGGCGGUUUCUUAAGUCUGAUGUGAAAGCCCCCGGCUCAACCGGGGAGGGUCAUUGGAAACUGGGGGACUUGAGUGCAGAAGAGGAGAGUGGAAUUCCAUGUGUAGCGGGGAAAUGCGUAGAUAUAUGGAGGAACACCAGUGGCGAAGGCGGCUAUCUGGUCUGUAACUGACGCUGAGGCUCGAAAGCGUGGGGAGCAAACAGG
This 429-nucleotide ribosomal RNA is filed under the name Gemmatimonadota bacterium. Its description in RNAcentral is "Gemmatimonadetes bacterium partial 16S ribosomal RNA". It matches the Rfam family "Bacterial small subunit ribosomal RNA", at positions 355 to 776 of the family's 1533-position model. The record is from RNAcentral. Lineage: Bacteria; Pseudomonadati; Gemmatimonadota.